UUACGGUCAUAUCACAUUGAAACACCAGUUUCCGUACGAUCAGCGAAGUUAAGCAACGCCGAGCCUGAUCAGUAUCUAGAUGUGUUAAAACUUGGGAAUUUCAGGUGCUGUAAG
Molecule: ribosomal RNA, 114 nt
Filed under: Acanthosepion pharaonis
Lineage: Eukaryota; Metazoa; Mollusca; Cephalopoda; Sepiida; Sepiidae
Source: RNAcentral